UACGAAGGGGGCGAGCGUUGUUCGGAUUUACUGGGCGUAAAGGGCGCGUAGGCGGCCCUCCGAGUCGCGUGUGAAAGCCCCGGGCUCAACCUGGGAAUUGCGCGCGAAACGGGGGGGCUUGAGUUCGGGAGAGGAGCGUGGAAUUCCCAGUGUAGAGGUGAAAUUCGUAGAUAUUGGGAAGAACACCGGUGGCGAAGGCGGCGCUCUGGACCGAGACUGACGCUGAGGCGCGAAAGCGUGGGGAGCAAACAGG
Molecule: ribosomal RNA, 253 nt
Filed under: uncultured bacterium
Lineage: Bacteria
Description: partial 16S ribosomal RNA
Rfam family: Bacterial small subunit ribosomal RNA
Source: RNAcentral